This 293-nucleotide unclassified non-coding RNA is filed under the name Hevea brasiliensis (rubber tree). The record is from RNAcentral. Lineage: Eukaryota; Viridiplantae; Streptophyta; Magnoliopsida; Malpighiales; Euphorbiaceae.
CCUGCUCCAAGGAGGGGAGAGCCAGAUGUGACCCGUAGGACGCCUGAUUACUUCCUAUGAUUCAAGUUGGAAGCAAGUCAUGAAUCGUGGUUAUUGCCUCCUAGCUGGUUUAUGUGUUGAGGGCUUUUUCAAAUUUAAGAUUAUAAUUGCAAUGGUGGUUGUUAGGUGGCGAAAAAAUCAGGCUUCCUUGAUUUGAUUGUUAGUAUUGAUGAUGCCCUUGUUCCACAAGAGGAAGCAGUGGAGCUGGAAAGCAAUUGCUGCAUUUGUACCAUUUCCAGCAAACAAUGUGGCAU